This 495-nucleotide ribosomal RNA is filed under the name uncultured bacterium. Its description in RNAcentral is "partial 16S ribosomal RNA". It matches the Rfam family "Bacterial small subunit ribosomal RNA", at positions 28 to 507 of the family's 1533-position model. The record is from RNAcentral.
GACGAACGCUGGCGGCGUGCCUAAUACAUGCAAGUAGAACGCUGAAGCCGGAGCUUGCUUCUCUGGAUGGGUUGCGAACGGGGGAGUAACGCGUAUGUAACCUGCCUGGUCGCGGGGGAUAACUAUUGGAAACGAUAGCUAAUACCGCAUAAGAGUAGAUGUUGCAUGGCAUUUACUUAAAAGUUGCAAUUGCAUCACUACCAGAUGGACCUGCGUUGUAUUAGCUAGUUGGUGUGGGAACGGGUAACCAAGGCAACGGUACCUAGCCGGCCGGAGAGGGGGAACGGCCAACCUGGGAAUGGGAAAAGGCACAGGCCCCUACGGGAGGCAGGAGGAGGGAAUCUUGGGCAAUGGACGGAAGGCUGAACGAGCAACGACGGGUGAGUGAAGGAGGUUGUCGGAUCGUAAAGCUCUGUUUUAUGAGAAGAACGAGUGUGAGAGUGGAAAGUUCACGUUGUGACGGUACCUGAACAGAAAGCGACGGCUAACUACGUG